CCCCUCCUGCUAAGGUGCAUCUAGUGUAGUUAGUGAAAUAGUCUAGAAUCUACUGCUCUGGGUGCUCCUUCUGGCUGGAGGG
This 82-nucleotide microRNA precursor is filed under the name Scleropages formosus (Asian bonytongue). RNAcentral's name for it is "mir-17 microRNA precursor family". It matches the Rfam family "mir-17 microRNA precursor family". Rfam says of the family: This family represents the microRNA (miRNA) precursor mir-17, family, which includes mir-20, mir-91, and mir-103. miRNAs are transcribed as ~70nt precursors (modelled here) and subsequently processed by the Dicer enzyme to give a ~22nt product. Lineage: Eukaryota; Metazoa; Chordata; Actinopteri; Osteoglossiformes; Osteoglossidae. The record is from Rfam by way of RNAcentral.